Molecule: ribosomal RNA, 528 nt
Filed under: Aspergillus versicolor
Lineage: Eukaryota; Fungi; Ascomycota; Eurotiomycetes; Eurotiales; Aspergillaceae
Description: eukaryotic LSU rRNA
Rfam family: 5.8S ribosomal RNA (bases 160-313)
Source: RNAcentral
UUACCGAGUGCGGGCUGCCUCCGGGCGCCCAACCUCCCACCCGUGACUACCUAACACUGUUGCUUCGGCGGGGAGCCCUCUCGGGGGCGAGCCGCCGGGGACUACUGAACUUCAUGCCUGAGAGUGAUGCAGUCUGAGUCUGAAUAUAAAAUCAGUCAAAACUUUCAACAAUGGAUCUCUUGGUUCCGGCAUCGAUGAAGAACGCAGCGAACUGCGAUAAGUAAUGUGAAUUGCAGAAUUCAGUGAAUCAUCGAGUCUUUGAACGCACAUUGCGCCCCCUGGCAUUCCGGGGGGCAUGCCUGUCCGAGCGUCAUUGCUGCCCAUCAAGCCCGGCUUGUGUGUUGGGUCGUCGUCCCCCCCGGGGGACGGGCCCGAAAGGCAGCGGCGGCACCGUGUCCGGUCCUCGAGCGUAUGGGGCUUUGUCACCCGCUCGAUUAGGGCCGGCCGGGCGCCAGCCGACGUCUCCAACCAUUUUCUUCAGGUUGACCUCGGAUCAGGUAGGGAUACCCGCUGAACUUAAGCAUAUCA